Molecule: long non-coding RNA, 225 nt
Organism: Pseudopodoces humilis (Tibetan ground-tit)
Lineage: Eukaryota; Metazoa; Chordata; Aves; Passeriformes; Paridae
Source: RefSeq, a predicted model, not a curated record
CCGCUGAGGGGAAAAUGCCGGUUAAAAAGACAGACCACCACCCCCUGCUGUCCACCGGAGCUGGGGGAGCUGGGGCUGAGCGAGGUCCUUGUAACCUGUCUGCCACAGGUUUGUUACAGAACCGGACAGUUUGACUCCUGAAGCAGACCAAUGGGACCACACAAGCCUGAGUUUCUGAACUUUGGGUAAAGGUGUGGAGUGGAAUCCUUUCCUGACUAGCCCUGG